AGUGAACGCUGGCGGCGUGCUUAACACAUGCAAGUCGAACGGUAACAGGAACUAGCUUGCUAGUUUGCUGACGAGUGGCGCACGGGUGAGUAAUAUAUAGUUAAUGUACCCCAAAGACUGGGAUAGCCACUGGAAACGGUGAUUAAUACUAGAUACACCUCUUUAACAUAAGUUAGAGAGGGAAAUGUCUUUUCGCUUUGGGAUCAGACUAUAUCCUAUCAGUUAGUUGGUGAGGUAAUGGCUCACCAAGGCAAUGACGGGUAGCGGGUUUGAGAGGAUGAUCCGCCACACUGGUACUGAGACACGGACCAGACUCCUACGGGAGGCAGCAGUGAGGAAUAUUGCACAAUGGGGGGAACCCUGAUGCAGCAACGCCGCGUGGAGGAUGACGCAUUUCGGUGUGUAAACUCCUUUUAUAUGUCAAGAAAUGACGGUAGCAUAUGAAUAAGCACCGGCUAACUCCGUGCCAGCAGCCGCGGUAAAGUAUCG
This 489-nucleotide ribosomal RNA is filed under the name uncultured bacterium. RNAcentral's name for it is "bacterial SSU rRNA". It matches the Rfam family "Bacterial small subunit ribosomal RNA", at positions 29 to 527 of the family's 1533-position model. The record is from RNAcentral.